This 367-nucleotide long non-coding RNA is filed under the name Elaeis guineensis (African oil palm). RNAcentral describes it as "long non-coding RNA (EGUI_LNC010833)". Lineage: Eukaryota; Viridiplantae; Streptophyta; Magnoliopsida; Arecales; Arecaceae. The record is from RNAcentral.
ACUCCAGGUAGAAGUAAUUUUCAAAUAUACAUCUUUGAAAGGGUGCAAUUUGGGGUGUGGAGGCUUUACUCGAUCUGAGCACCCUGACGUAUGGGUCAGACUGUGUGGAUACCUAUUUAACCAUGGACCCUGGGUUCAGCUAGGGUGAACAAAUGCUUUGACAAUUAAAUGUGAGAUAAGGUUCAUGUAGGGGACCAAGACAACCCAAUGACAUUGAUAUUGCACAGAGUUCCGACCUAACACACCCUACAUUUAUAGUCUGAUAUCAUCACGAAUUUAUUUAUUUAUUUUUUUUAAAAAAAGCCAGGCAAAUCUGAAAAUGGAACAUUUAGGUCCAGGUCUACAAUCUAUAUGCAAUUCCCGGGCU